ACCUGGGGAGGGGAGACUGAUCCUAGACCUGCAGAGGUAAAGAGCAGAUCACUGCAGCCCAGAUCAAGACCCUAAAGAAACUCCCUCUCUCUGUAACCCCCUCUUUCUCUCUGUAACCCCCUCUCUCUCUCUGUAACCCCCUCUUUCUCUCUGUAACCCCCUCUUUCUCUCUGUAACCCCCUCUCUCUCUCUGUAACCCCCUCUUUCUCUCUGUAACCCCCUCUUUCUCUCCCUAACCCCCUCUCUCUCUCCCUAACCCCCUCUCUCUCUCCCUAACCCCCUCUCUCUCUCUCCCUUUCUCUCUGUAACCCCCUCUCCUCUGUAACCCUCUCCCUCUUUCUCUCUGUAACUCUCUCUCCAGCUCUUCAGGCCCCCUUCUCUCUCUCUCCAGCUCUUCAGGCCCCCUUCUCUCUCUCUCCAGCUCUUCAGGCCCCCUUCUCUCUCUCUCUCUCUCUCCAGACUGGUCUAGGAUGGAAGGCCUUGUAGUCCUGAUCUAUGUGGGUCUUAAUCUCCAAAACAUCGUUUCCUUCUUUUGUUUUCGUUGCUCUUUAUCUUUUUGUGGAGCAGUUUGUUUUUAAAAGAAAUAUUUCCAAACCGUUUUAAUCUGGUUUUGAUGACAAAACAAGUUGUUGCUUAUUAAAUUCCCCCCGGGAUAUCUAGCCUCUUCCUCCUCUGUCCCUUCCUUCCUGUCUCUCUCCCAUCAGUGUGUUUAUUUUCUAUAGUUUAAAACUUGGCUAUUAUGUACGUUAGCCAUAUAUAUACUGUAUGUUUGGCUGUCUGAUAAACACAUACACAGUUCUUUCUCACACGUGUUAGAGGAAGGAGAAGGGAGGAAGGAGAGGAGGGAAGGGAGGAAGGAGAGGAGGGAAGGGAGGAAGGAAGGGAGGAAGGAGAGGAGGGAAGGGAGGAAGGAAGGGAGGAAGGAGAGGAGGGAAGGGAGGAAGGAGAGGAGGGAAGGGAGGAAGGAGAAGGGAGGAAGGAGAGGAGGGAAGGGAGGAAGGAGAGGAGGAAUUUGGCCACUUUUCAGAAAAAGCAGGGGGUAGACUAGACCCCCUUAAAUGUUAACUGAUGAAUAGACAAACAUGACUUAUUCUUUUCCUUUCGAUCUUUUUAGCAGUCAAACAUUGAGAACUUUGAAAUUAAAAUUUGUAUUGAAUUUUAAGUCUGUUGUUUAAUUACUGGGGGGGAUGAAUGUUACAGCAACUUCUACACAUUUGGUCUGAGAAGUGACGUUAGAGAUCCCAGCUGAUCUGUGAUCGCUUGCUCUCCCCUGGCCUUCCCAGGGAGAUGGAUUCUAUCCACCACGCCUUACGGUCCAUGUUUCUUCUUCUUGCUUGUUUUGAAUAAAGGAAGUAUUUUUAAAAACGACUUCAGAAUCUCACAGACAGACCGGAAAUUCAAACAGUUUAGGGAAAAUGUUUUUAUGUGUUUCUCUUCUACAACCUUGCAAGUUUAUUUCUAUAUUUUAGUCAGAAAGUGUUUUCAUUUCUGCCAGACAUUUGUUUUUGUUGUGGAUGUUUCAGGAUGGUUUUCACAUUUAAUUUUUAUGCAGAAAAUAAAUCCCUUUUUAGAUGUAACUCCGUGUUUAUUCAGAUCAACAACAAAACAUUCCACUGUCCGUCAAGAGUCGAUUCUCCAAUACUUCCGUUGGCCCAUCAAUUCAUGCACCUUGGUUGGAAGUAGGCGAUGGAAGGGUGGACGGUAGGUAGCCUAGACCCCCAGGAGGUUACUACAGGAGGUGGACGGCAGGUAGCCUAGACCCCCAGCAGGUUACUACAGGAGGUGGACGGCAGGUAGCCUAGACCCCCAGGAGGUGGACGGCAGGUAGCCUAGAUCCCCAGGAGGUUACUACAGGAGGACGGCCUAGACCCACAGGAGGUUACUACAGGAGGAGGACGGCAGGUAGCCUAGACCCCCAGGAGGUGGACGGCAGGUAGCCUAGAUCCCCAGGAGGUUACUACAGGAGGACGGCCUAGACCCACAGGAGGUUACUACAGGAGGAGGACGGCAGGUAGCCUAGACCCCCAGGAGGUGGACGGCAGGUAGCCUAGAUCCCCAGGAGGUUACUACAGGAGGACGGCCUAGACCCACAGGAGGUUACUACAGGAGGAGGACGGCAGGUAGCCUAGACCCCCAGGAGGUUACUACAGGAGGUGGACGGAAGGUAGCUUAGACCCCCAGGAGGUGGACAGCAGGUAGACUAGACCCCCAGGAGGUUACUACAGGAGGUGGACAGCAGCUAGCCAAGACCCUCAGGUUACUACAGGAGGUGGACGGCAGGUAGCCUAGACCCCCAGGAGGUGGACAGCAGGUAGACUAGACCCCCAGGAGGUUACUACAGGAGGUGGACAGCAGCUAGCCUAGACCCUCAGUAGGUUACUACAGGAGGUGGACGGCAGGUAGACUAGACCCUCAGUAGGUUACUACAGGAGGAUGGCCUAGACCCCCAGCAGGUUACUACAGGAGGAGGACGGCAGGUAGCCUAGACCCCCAGGAGGUUACUACAGGAGGUGGACGGAAGGUAGCCUAGACCCCCAGGAGAUUACUACAGGAGGUGGACGGCCUAGACCCCCAGGAGGUGGACGGCAGGUAGCCUAGACCCCCAGGAGGUUACUACAGGAGGUAGCCUAGACCCCCAGGAGGUUACUACAGGAGGACGGCCUAGACCCCCAGGAGGUUACUACAGGAGGAGGACGGCAGGUAGCCUAGACCCCCAGGAGGUUACUACAGGAGGACGGCCUAGACCCCAGGAGGUUACUACAGGAGGACGGCCUAGACCCCCAGGAGGUGGACGGCAGGUAGCCUAGACCCCCAGGAGGUGGACGGCAGGUAG
Molecule: long non-coding RNA, 2833 nt
Organism: Salvelinus fontinalis (brook trout)
Lineage: Eukaryota; Metazoa; Chordata; Actinopteri; Salmoniformes; Salmonidae
Exons: 3
Source: RefSeq, a predicted model, not a curated record